GAUGAACGCUGGCGGCGUGCCUAAUACAUGCAAGUCGAGCGAACAGACGAGGAGCUUGCUCCUCUGACGUUAGCGGCGGACGGGUGAGUAACACGUGGAUAACCUACCUAUAAGACUGGGAUAACUUCGGGAAACCGGAGCUAAUACCGGAUAAUAUAUUGAACCGCAUGGUUCAAUAGUGAAAGACGGUUUUGCUGUCACUUAUAGAUGGAUCCGCGCCGCAUUAGCUAGUUGGUAAGGUAACGGCUUACCAAGGCAACGAUGCGUAGCCGACCUGAGAGGGGGAUCGGCCACACUGGAACUGAGACACGGUCCAGACUCCUACGGGAGGCAGCAGUAGGGAAUCUUCCGCAAUGGGCGAAAGCCUGACGGAGCAACGCCGCGUGAGUGAUGAAGGUCUUCGGAUCGUAAAACUCUGUUAUUAGGGAAGAACAAAUGUGUAAGUAACUAUGCACGUCUUGACGGUACCUAAUCAGAAAGCCACGGCGAACUACGU
This 496-nucleotide ribosomal RNA is filed under the name uncultured bacterium. Its description in RNAcentral is "partial 16S ribosomal RNA". It matches the Rfam family "Bacterial small subunit ribosomal RNA", at positions 28 to 506 of the family's 1533-position model. The record is from RNAcentral.